AGAGUUUGAUCCUGGCUCAGGAUGAACGCUAGCGGCAGGCUUAAUACAUGCAAGUCGAGGGGCAGCAGGUUUGUAGCAAUACAGAUGCUGGCGACCGGCAAACGGGUGAGGAACACGUACGCAACUUUCCUUCAAGUGGGGGAUAGCCCAGGGAAACUUGGAUUAAUACCCCAUUAUAUUACGAAGCGGCAUCGUUUUGUAAUUAAAGCUCCGGCGCUUGAAGAUGGGCGUGCGCCUGAUUAGGUAGUUGGCGGGGUAACGGCCCACCAAGCCUACGAUCAGUAACUGGUGUGAGAGCACGACCAGUCACACGGGCACUGAGACACGGGCCCGACUCCUACGGGAGGCAGCAGUAAGGAAUAUUGGGCAAUGGACGAAAGUCUGACCCAGCCAUGCCGCGUGGAGGAUGAAGGUCCUCUGGAUUGUAAACUUCUUUUAUCUGGGAAGAAAUCUACGGUUUCCAACUGUAGUUGACGGUACCAGAUGAAUAAGCACCGG
RNAcentral lists this ribosomal RNA (498 nucleotides) under uncultured bacterium. RNAcentral's name for it is "bacterial SSU rRNA". It matches the Rfam family "Bacterial small subunit ribosomal RNA", at positions 8 to 496 of the family's 1533-position model. The record is from RNAcentral.